CAACGGAUCUCUUGGCUCUCGCAUCGAUGAAGAACGCAGCGAAAUGCGAUAAGUAAUGUGAAUUGCAGAAUUCAGUGAAUCAUCGAAUCUUUGAACGCACCUUGCGCUCCUUGGUAUUCCGAGGAGCAUGCCUGUUUGAGUGUCAUUA
This 148-nucleotide ribosomal RNA is filed under the name uncultured Cortinariaceae. RNAcentral describes it as "5.8S ribosomal RNA". It matches the Rfam family "5.8S ribosomal RNA". Rfam says of the family: 5.8S ribosomal RNA (5.8S rRNA) is a component of the large subunit of the eukaryotic ribosome. It is transcribed by RNA polymerase I as part of the 45S precursor that also contains 18S and 28S rRNA. Functionally, it is thought that 5.8S rRNA may be involved in ribosome translocation. The record is from RNAcentral. Lineage: Eukaryota; Fungi; Basidiomycota; Agaricomycetes; Agaricales; Cortinariaceae.